This 468-nucleotide ribosomal RNA is filed under the name uncultured bacterium. RNAcentral's name for it is "partial 16S ribosomal RNA". It matches the Rfam family "Bacterial small subunit ribosomal RNA", at positions 28 to 507 of the family's 1533-position model. The record is from RNAcentral.
GACGAACGCUGGCGGCGUGCUUAACACAUGCAAGUCGAACGGAAAGGCCCUGCUUUUGUUGGGUGCUCGAGUGGCGAACGGGUGAGUAACACGUGAGUAACCUUCCCUUGACUUUUGGAUAACUUCAGGAAACUGGGGCUAAUACCGGAUAGGAGCUCCUGCUGCAUGGUGGGGGUUGGAAAGUUUCGGCGGUUGGGGAUGGACUCGCGGCUUAUCAGCUUGUUGGUGGGGUAGUGGCUUACCAAGGCUUUGACGGGUAGCCGGCCUGAGAGGGUGACCGGACACAUUGGGACUGAGAUACGGCCCAGACUCAUACGGGAGGCAGCAGUGGGGAAUAUUGCACAAUGGGCGGAAGCCUGAUGCAGCAACGCCGCGUGCGGGAUGACGGCCUUCGGGUUGUAACCCGCUUUCGCCUGUGACGAAGCGUGAGUGACGGUAAUGGGUAAAGAAGCACCGGCUAACUACGUG